AACGAACGCUGGCGGCAUGCCUAACACAUGCAAGUCGAACGAGACCUUCGGGUCUAGUGGCGCACGGGUGCGUAACGCGUGGGAACCUGCCCUUAGGUUCGGAAUAACUCCCCGAAAGGGGUGCUAAUACCGGAUAAUGUCUUCGGACCAAAGAUUUAUCGCCUUUGGAUGGGCCCGCGUUGGAUUAGCUGGUUGGUAGGGUAAAAGCCUACCAAGGCGACGAUCCAUAGCUGGUCUGAGAGGAUGAUCAGCCACACUGGGACUGAGACACGGCCCAGACUCCUACGGGAGGCAGCAGUGGGGAAUAUUGGACAACGGGCGAAAGCCUGAUCCAGCAAUGCCGCGUGAGUGAUGAAGGCCUUAGGGUUGUAAAGCUCUUUUACCCGGGAUGAUAAUGACAGUACCGGGAGAAUAAGCUCCGGCUAACUCCGUG
This 433-nucleotide ribosomal RNA is filed under the name uncultured bacterium. RNAcentral describes it as "partial 16S ribosomal RNA". It matches the Rfam family "Bacterial small subunit ribosomal RNA", at positions 29 to 507 of the family's 1533-position model. The record is from RNAcentral.